GCGCGCAGGCGGAUUAGCAAGUCAGAUGUGAAAUCUCGGGGCUUAACCCCGAAACUGCGUCUGAAACUGUUAGUCUAGAAUCUCAGAGGGGGCAGGGGAAUUUCACGUGUAGGGGUAAAAUCCGUAGAGAUGCGAAGGAACACCAGAGGCGAAGGCGCCUUCCUGGACGAGUACUGACGCUGAGGCGCGAAAGCGUGGGGAGCAAACAGG
This 210-nucleotide ribosomal RNA is filed under the name Alexandrium tamarense. RNAcentral's name for it is "partial Bacterial small subunit ribosomal RNA". It matches the Rfam family "Bacterial small subunit ribosomal RNA", at positions 567 to 776 of the family's 1533-position model. Lineage: Eukaryota; Dinophyceae; Gonyaulacales; Pyrocystaceae. The record is from RNAcentral.